Long non-coding RNA from Carassius carassius (crucian carp), 819 nucleotides. RefSeq lists it as uncharacterized. The record is from RefSeq and is a predicted model, not a curated record. The transcript is spliced from 4 exons. NCBI's taxonomy places the organism in Eukaryota, Metazoa, Chordata, Actinopteri, Cypriniformes, Cyprinidae.
AGAUUUGAGAAAGAGUGACGACACCGGGGCAGACACCAGUCAGGAACCUGAGGUUCCUAUGGAGGUUCAGGAUGCUGAUCAAAGUGUCACAACAGACAAGGACAGCAACCCCACCAGCAGCACUAAAGAUGAUGUGAAAGCCCACGAUAAGAGCUCACAAGAGCACGACGCAACUCCACCAGACACCAGACCAAAUUCCGAAGAUGACCAAGGUGAGAAGAAUACACGGGAAUGAGACGACAGUCAGCCUCAUGGGAACGAGUGCUGGCAAACUGUGUGAAGGCAAACAUCACACCAAUUUUGUCCCACGCCAGGGAGUCCCCCACAAACACUGGGAAAAGUGUUGACCCCCACUUCAUUCACCGUCUUUACUUCUAUUCAACCUGUAUUUUCCUUUCUGCUCCCUCAUAUUGAUAAUAAAUCAGAUAUAUAGUUAAAUUAAAAGGAUUAAAUGGGAGUUUGAACAUAUCAGAGAGAUUGCAGAGAUUGUGGCGCUGGAGGAGGGCUGCUAUACCUCACUGACAUGCUGCUUGAUCAAUAUACAUAUAUAUUUUUUGUUGAUGUUGUAGUUGUUUUUUUUUUCUCAAUAUGGCAUCCUGGUGUUGGAUAUGAACUUGUUUAAAAUAGGUAGAUUGGUCAAAACACAUCCUAACAUCAUCCAGCCACUUUUAGUUACUCACUGAUUUGUAAUACUUCUGACAAAGUGCAAAGCCAAGGCUUAAUUUUCUGUCCCCAGGGCACUCAUUCAGACCAAAUAUGAUGGAAUUCUACAGCCUUGUCCACCGAUUAAGAUUUCUUUCAACACUAAGAUGGCUGUAU